AGUGAACGCUGGCGGUAGGCCUAACACAUGCCAGUCGAACGGCAGCACAGUAAGAGCUUGCUCUUACGGGCGUCGAGUGGCGGACGGGUGAGGAAUACAUCGGAAUCUACUUUUUCGUGGGGGAUAACGUAGGGAAACUUACGCUAAUACCGCAUACGACCUACGGGUGAAAGCACGGGAUCUUCUGACCUUGCGCGAGUGAAUGAGCCGAUGUCGGAUUAGCUAGUUGGCGGGGUAAAGGGGCACCACGGCGACGAUCCGUAGAGGGUCUGAGAGGAUGAUCAGACAGACUGGAAGUGAGACACAGCACCGACUCUGACAGGAGGAAGCAGUGGAGAAUCUUAGACGAGGCGGGAGAGGCUGAUAUAGCAAUACCGGGUAAGUGAUGAAGGAGUUCGGGUUGGUAAGCCAUGAUGUUGGGAGAGAAGAGAAGCACGUUUAUCCCCGGCUGUAAUGACAGUACCCAAAGAAUAAGCACCGGCUAACUUCGUG
Molecule: ribosomal RNA, 492 nt
Filed under: uncultured bacterium
Lineage: Bacteria
Description: partial 16S ribosomal RNA
Rfam family: Bacterial small subunit ribosomal RNA
Source: RNAcentral